UCCGGCGCUGGUGGAAAAGUUAACAUUCGGCCCUGUGACGGUCGAGAUACGAGUGCGAAUCUCGUGCCCGGACC
This 74-nucleotide transfer RNA is filed under the name Halogranum tailed virus 1. Its description in RNAcentral is "Halovirus HGTV-1 tRNA-His". It matches the Rfam family "tRNA". From Rfam's summary of the family: Transfer RNA (tRNA) molecules are approximately 80 nucleotides in length. Their secondary structure includes four short double-helical elements and three loops (D, anti-codon, and T loops). The record is from RNAcentral. Lineage: Duplodnaviria; Heunggongvirae; Uroviricota; Caudoviricetes; Thumleimavirales; Halomagnusviridae.